This 497-nucleotide ribosomal RNA is filed under the name uncultured bacterium. RNAcentral describes it as "partial 16S ribosomal RNA". It matches the Rfam family "Bacterial small subunit ribosomal RNA", at positions 28 to 507 of the family's 1533-position model. The record is from RNAcentral.
GAUGAACGCUGGCGGCGUGCCUAAUACAUGCAAGUCGAGCGAACAGACGAGGAGCUUGCUCCUCUGACGUUAGCGGCGGACGGGUGAGUAACACGUGGAUAACCUACCUAUAAGACUGGGAUAACUUCGGGAAACCGGAGCUAAUACCGGAUAAUAUAUUGAACCGCAAGGUUCAAUAGUGAAAGACGGUUUUGCUGUCACUUAUAGAUGGAUCCGCGCCGCAUUAGCUAGUUGGUAAGGUAACGGCUUACCAAGGCAACGAUGCGUAGCCGACCUGAGAGGGUGAUCGGCCACACUGGGACUGAGACACGGUCCAGACUCCUACGGGAGGCAGCAGUAGGGAAUCUUCCGCAAUGGGCGAAAGCCUGACGGAGCAACGCCGCGUGAGUGAUGAAGGUCUUCGGAUCGUAAAACUCUGUUAUUAGGGAAGAACAAAUGUGUAAGUAACUAUGCACGUCUUGACGGUACCUAAUCAGAAAGCCACGACUAACUACGUG